This is a long non-coding RNA of Gasterosteus aculeatus aculeatus (three-spined stickleback), 343 nucleotides long. The record is from Ensembl. NCBI's taxonomy places the organism in Eukaryota, Metazoa, Chordata, Actinopteri, Perciformes, Gasterosteidae.
CUGACUGACAGGAGCUGCUGGUCCACUGGUCUACGGUUCAAUGAGUAAUCGCGACGGAUCUCCUGGGAGCUACGAACGCGCUGGCCUCUGCUGACGGAGCAGUGUUCCUGGCUCCAACUCUUUGGACACGUAUUCUACAACACCAGAGGUCAUUUGAUAGCACAGCUCCCACAACUAAAAAUAGAUCGGGAGAUUUCUGGGGUUUUUGUUUUGACUUCAACCCUUGGAACUGGUUUCAUUAACCUCUUUUUGGAACUCAGUAAACACAUGUGGAAAGAAAUCUAACCAUCACCUUUUGUCUCUGCUGGUUACACGUGGCAUCUGUAAAAUGACCAAGCGAGGA